This 672-nucleotide ribosomal RNA is filed under the name uncultured bacterium. RNAcentral describes it as "bacterial SSU rRNA". It matches the Rfam family "Bacterial small subunit ribosomal RNA", at positions 41 to 699 of the family's 1533-position model. The record is from RNAcentral.
AAUGCGCGUCUUACCAUGCAAGCCAAGGGGAACGGGGUAGCAAUAUCCCGGGAUACUGGCGAACGGGUGAGUAACACGUAGGUAACCUACCUCCUGGAGAGGGAUAACCUGCCGAAAGGUGGGCUAAUACCAAAUGAUGCAGCGGCACCGCAUGGUGAUGUUGUUAAAGGUGGCGUGAACAGCGCCAUGCCAGGAGAUGGGCCUGCGGCCUAUCAGGUAGUUGGUGAGGUAACGGCUCACCAAGCCGACGACGGGUAGCUGGUCUGAGAGGACGGCCAGCCACACUGGAACUGAGACACGGUCCAGACUCCUACGGGAGGCAGCAGUGAGGAAUAUUGGGCAAUGGGUGAAAGCCUGACCCAGCAACGCCGCGUGGAGGAUGAAGGCCCUAUGGGUUGUAAACUCCUGUGAGAGGGGAAGAAUGUGGCGCCUCAGGCGCCAUUGACGGUACCCUCAGAGGAAGGUCCGGCCAACUACGUGCCAGCAGCCGCGGUAAUACGUAGGGACCGAGCGUUGUCCGGAAUCAUUGGGUGUAAAGGGCCCGCAGGCGGAUGUGUAAGUCGGAGGUGAAAUCUCACGGCUCAACCGUGAAACUGCUUUCGAUACCGCACGUCUUGAGUACGGGAGAGGGUGGUGGAAUUCCUGGUGUAGCGGUGAAAUGCGUAGAUAUCA